RNAcentral lists this ribosomal RNA (155 nucleotides) under Fructilactobacillus sanfranciscensis. Its description in RNAcentral is "Lactobacillus sanfranciscensis partial 16S ribosomal RNA". It matches the Rfam family "Bacterial small subunit ribosomal RNA", at positions 1380 to 1532 of the family's 1533-position model. Lineage: Bacteria; Bacillati; Bacillota; Bacilli; Lactobacillales; Lactobacillaceae. The record is from RNAcentral.
CUUGUACACACCGCCCGUCACACCAUGAGAGUUUGUAACACCCAAAGUCGGUUGGAUAACCUUUUUAGGAGUCCGCCGCCUAAGGUGGGACAGAUGAUUAGGGUGAAGUCGUAACAAGGUAGCCGUAGGAGAACCUGCGGCUGGAUCACCUCCUU